This 468-nucleotide ribosomal RNA is filed under the name uncultured bacterium. Its description in RNAcentral is "partial 16S ribosomal RNA". It matches the Rfam family "Bacterial small subunit ribosomal RNA", at positions 28 to 507 of the family's 1533-position model. The record is from RNAcentral.
GACGAACGCUGGCGGCGUGCUUAACACAUGCAAGUCGAACGGAAAGGCCCUGCUUUUGUGGGGUGCUCGAGUGGCGAACGGGUGAGUAACACGUGAGUAACCUGCCCUUGACUUUGGGGUAACUUCAGGAAACUGGGGCUAAUACCGUAUAGGAUCUCCUGCUGCAUGGUGGGGGUUGGAAAGUUUCGGCGGUUGGGGAUGGACUCGCGGGUUAUCAGCUUGUUGGUUGGGUAGUUGCUUACCCAGCCUUUGAAGGGUCGGCGACCUGCGAGGGUGACCGGCCACAAGAGGACUGAGGUAGGCACCAGAGUCCAACGGGAGGCAGCGGGGGGAAAUAUUGCACAAUGGGCGGAAGCCUGAUGCAGCAACGCCGCGUGCGGAAUGACGGCCUGCGGGUUGUAAACAGCUUUCGCCUGUGACGAAGCGGGAGUGACGGUAAUGAGUAAAGAAGCACCGGCUAACUACGUG